AAGCCUACACUGCUCCAAGAGGCUGGGCGCCUCCUGCCGCGGUCCUGCUAACCCGGCGGGCAGAACAAGGGCAUACCAAUGACCACUAAGUUGAGGAGCUGCUUCCCGCCCUGCCGCUUUUCCAAUUCCGCUUUCACGUCUAUCUGCUGCCUCAGCUUGCCAGACUUUCUCACUGGUGUCGGAGUGGAGCCCAGCUCUUCUGAUGUUUGAAGGGAAGGAGGUGGGAGGGCAGAUUUUGGAGUGCCGGUCUCAGGAAUGUUAGGAGAAGCUACGCUCACAUCAUCACCAGGAGGCCCUUUGUGAGGAGCGCGCACACUGAGUCCAUUUUCCUCAGAAGUUAAGCUGCAGAAAGAUGAGAAAAACUGUGAGAAAGUCAUUUCAGACACUGCCCAACUGAGUCAGGGGGCAGGGGUAUCUCUUGGCAACCCCUGAUAUUCUGGGUCUCAGGUCUGUCAAGCUGGAAAAGAGAAGUGACCAGAGCCAAUCCACACAAACGAACACUGGGAACCCUAGGUGUCUACUAAACAUGAAGACUCCGCCCUGGCAGACAGCAGGCAGCAACGCUGCUGCAUCCUAAGAGGAUUUCCCAAGGCAUCUUCUCUUUGGUCCCACUGUGUCCUGAUUGCACCUCCUCAAAAUGACAGACAUGUUUUCCCAAGAAAACUGAAUCAGGGUCAUUCUAAACUAAAAACCCUGAGUCAUGCACCUCUAGGAAAUGCAAACGUGUUGCCCACAUCUGAUGCGGAGAUGCAGAUGGACUGGAUAACACAGACACAACUGCAAGCAUGAGAACCCAAGUCCGGAUCCUAAGCACCCAUGUAAAAGCCAGUGUAGGUGUAUAUAUGAAGAGACUCUGAGAACAUUACGGAGUACUUAAGCUUCUUCACUGAAUUCAACCACUUCCUCUGAAAAAACUCCCACAUAACAGUAAGCACAAAGCCAAUUCAUUCUCAGUUAUCUUUACAAGAUGUAUACAUUCUUCUUAUUGUUUGAAUAAAAAUACUCAGUAAAGGAUC
Molecule: long non-coding RNA, 1016 nt
Organism: Mus musculus (house mouse)
Lineage: Eukaryota; Metazoa; Chordata; Mammalia; Rodentia; Muridae
Product: RIKEN cDNA 4930455C13 gene
Exons: 4
Source: RefSeq, marked validated